RNAcentral lists this ribosomal RNA (102 nucleotides) under Rhizobium leguminosarum. RNAcentral's name for it is "partial 16S ribosomal RNA". It matches the Rfam family "Bacterial small subunit ribosomal RNA", at positions 1 to 114 of the family's 1533-position model. The record is from RNAcentral. Lineage: Bacteria; Pseudomonadati; Pseudomonadota; Alphaproteobacteria; Hyphomicrobiales; Rhizobiaceae.
UCAACAUGAGAGUUUGAUCCUGGCUCAGAACGAACGCUGGCGGCAGGCUUAACACAUGCAAGUCGAGCGCCCCGCAAGGGGAGCGGCAGACGGGUGAGUAAC